CCUGGCCCUUAGAAGCAUUGAAGGUGUGGCUUCUGUGUCACAUGUGAGUCAGUAGGUGACAGAGAGGAGAGAGGCUAUGUCUGUGCUCAGUGUUAUGACCUAUGAAUGUCUGAAUGAUUAGUACCAUGACAUC
Small nucleolar RNA from Rattus norvegicus (Norway rat), 133 nucleotides. Ensembl annotates it as small nucleolar RNA SNORA17. NCBI's taxonomy places the organism in Eukaryota, Metazoa, Chordata, Mammalia, Rodentia, Muridae. The record is from Ensembl.